GACGAACGCUGGCGGCGUGCUUAACACAUGCAAGUCGAACGGAAAGGCCCUGCUUUUGUGGGGUGCUCGAGUGGCGAACGGGUGAGUAACACGUGAGUAACCUGCCCUUGACUUUGGGAUAACUUCAGGAAACUGGGGCUAAUACCGGAUAGGAGCUCCUGCUGCAUGGUGGGGGUUGGAAAGUUUCGGCGGUUGGGGAUGGACUCGCGGCUUAUCAGCUUGUUGGUGUGGUAGUGGCUUACCAAGGCUUUGACGGGUAGCCGGCCUGAGAGGGUUACCGGCCACAUUGGGACUGAGAUACGGCCCAGACUCCUACGGGAGGCAGCAGGGGGGAAUAUUGCACAAUGGGCGGAAGCCUGAUGCAGAAACGCCGCGUGCGGGAUGACGGCCUUCGGGUUGUAAACCGCUUUCGCCUGUGACGAAGCGUGAGUGACGGUAAUGGGUAAAGAAGCACCGGCUAACUACGUG
Molecule: ribosomal RNA, 468 nt
Filed under: uncultured bacterium
Lineage: Bacteria
Description: partial 16S ribosomal RNA
Rfam family: Bacterial small subunit ribosomal RNA
Source: RNAcentral